RNAcentral lists this ribosomal RNA (303 nucleotides) under uncultured Tetrahymena sp. Its description in RNAcentral is "partial large subunit ribosomal RNA". It matches the Rfam family "Eukaryotic large subunit ribosomal RNA", at positions 40 to 350 of the family's 3401-position model. Lineage: Eukaryota; Ciliophora; Oligohymenophorea; Hymenostomatida. The record is from RNAcentral.
GUAUCAGUAAGCGGAGGAAAAGAAACUAACUAGGAUAGCCCCAGUAAUGGCGAAUGAACAGGCUAAAGCUCAAAGUGAAAAUCUGGAAACAGAAUUGUAAUCUAAAGAGUUAACCCAAAGCUAAGCUCCUCGCAUAAGUUCCUUGGAACAGGACGUCAAAGAGGGUGACAACCCCGUAGUCGGUGAGGAAUGCUGGUGAAGGGAAGGCUUCAAAGAGUCGGGUUGUUUGGGAUUGCAGCCCUAAGUGGGAGAUAAACUUCUUCUAGAGCUAAAUAUACACGGGAGACCGAUAGCGCACAAGUA